GGGUGGCUAGCUCAGUGGUAGAGCGCCUCGUUUACACCGAGGAUGUCGGGGGUUCGAAACCCUCGCCGCCCA
This 72-nucleotide transfer RNA is filed under the name Actinomycetes bacterium. Its description in RNAcentral is "Actinobacteria bacterium tRNA-Val". It matches the Rfam family "tRNA". Rfam says of the family: Transfer RNA (tRNA) molecules are approximately 80 nucleotides in length. Their secondary structure includes four short double-helical elements and three loops (D, anti-codon, and T loops). Further hydrogen bonds mediate the characteristic L-shaped molecular structure. tRNAs have two regions of fundamental functional importance: the anti-codon, which is responsible for specific mRNA codon recognition, and the 3' end, to which the tRNAs corresponding amino acid is attached (by aminoacyl-tRNA synthetases). tRNAs cope with the degeneracy of the genetic code in two manners: having more than one tRNA (with a specific anti-codon) for a particular amino acid; and 'wobble' base-pairing, i.e. permitting non-standard base-pairing at the 3rd anti-codon position. RNAcentral also lists the same sequence under 4 other names. Lineage: Bacteria; Bacillati; Actinomycetota; Actinomycetes. The record is from RNAcentral.